AGAAUUCUAUCACAAUUGCAGUUAAUUUAUUUUUAAAAAUAGUGCGUGUUUGUUUUUUAUUAAUGUCAAAAUGUUUGAUUAUAAUGCAAAACAGGAGUAACUUUUUGAUUUUUUCAUUAAAGAGGAAUAAAAUUUUAAUAUAAAAUGUUUGGACAAGACAGGAAAAGAUUUUUUAAAUCGCGACAGAGUUGAGAGACACGGUGUUUAAAAAAGUUGAAAUUAUCUGAUGACAAUAUUUCGCAGGAAGAAUCUUCAUCUGUUAAUAGCUGCCACUACGAUUACCAAGAUUGUGAUAAAAUUACAUAUGAAGAUUUUGAUGAUGCUGAUGAUGCAGAUGAUGAUGACGAUGAUUAUGUAUCUUGCGACGAAGAGGAGCAGUUUGAAGACGCUGAAGACAAUUUAUUUUUGGAUUUUGAAGACAUUUAUGGGGAUGAGUCGGAAAGCGAGAAUACUGACGAAGAAAUAAUUGACGAUUUUGAAUAUUCAGAUGAUGAACUUGACGUAAAUGAUAAAUCUCCCGAAAUGGAUAUAGUUUCCGAAAUAAGAAUGUGGGCCCAAGGUGGUCAAGUACCAUUGACGAAAGUUGAUGAAAUUCUUAAGAUUUUAAGAAAAAAUGUGCUACCUCAAUUACCAGCAUCUUCUAAAACGUUGUUAAGAACCUCUUCAGCUAAAUAUGUUAUAACGGAAAUGGAAGAUAAGGAUGGAGG
Leptopilina boulardi is the source of this 707-nucleotide long non-coding RNA. RefSeq lists it as uncharacterized. The transcript is spliced from 3 exons. The record is from RefSeq and is a predicted model, not a curated record. NCBI's taxonomy places the organism in Eukaryota, Metazoa, Arthropoda, Insecta, Hymenoptera, Figitidae.